GGUUUGAAGUUUUGCAAUGAGAAAGGGCUCAAUGAUGUCAUUCUCGAGACGGAUUGUCAAGUUCUUUACUGGUUGCUGGUUAAAAAUGAAGUUGAUCUUUCUUAUCUGGGUUCGACGCUUGAAUCCAUUCGUUUGUUGGCGGCGAGUUUACAACAUCACGCGUUUAGUUGGACGCCCCGUGAAGGAAAUGAGGUGGCUGAUAGUUUAGCUAAGCAAGCUCUUCGUGAUUGCUUUCCAGUUUUUGUGUCUGCUGUUUCCCCCUGUCUGUCGAACUCUUUUGCUGUGCUUUAAUGAAGUUC
This 299-nucleotide long non-coding RNA is filed under the name Salvia miltiorrhiza (redroot sage). RNAcentral describes it as "long non-coding RNA (SMIL_LNC011642)". The record is from RNAcentral. Lineage: Eukaryota; Viridiplantae; Streptophyta; Magnoliopsida; Lamiales; Lamiaceae.